This 2889-nucleotide ribosomal RNA is filed under the name Acinetobacter baumannii. RNAcentral's name for it is "23S ribosomal RNA". It matches the Rfam family "Bacterial large subunit ribosomal RNA". The record is from RNAcentral. Lineage: Bacteria; Pseudomonadati; Pseudomonadota; Gammaproteobacteria; Moraxellales; Moraxellaceae.
AGUCAAGUAAUUAAGUGCAUGUGGUGGAUGCCUUGGCAGUCAGAGGCGAUGAAAGACGUGAUAGCCUGCGAAAAGCUCCGGGAGGCGGCAAAUAUCCUUUGAUCCGGAGAUGUCUGAAUGGGGAACCCACCUACUUUAAGGUAGGUAUUGCAACAUGAAUACAUAGUGUUGCAAGGCGAACGAGGGGAAGUGAAACAUCUCAGUACCCUUAGGAAAAGAAAUCAAUUGAGAUUCCCUCAGUAGCGGCGAGCGAACGGGGAUCAGCCCAUUAAGUUAUGUGUGUUUUAGUGGAACGCUCUGGGAAGUGCGAACGUAGAGGGUGAUAUUCCCGUACACGAAAGGGCACACAUAAUGAUGACGAGUAGGGCGAGGCACGUGAAACCUUGUCUGAAUAUGGGGGGACCAUCCUCCAAGGCUAAAUACUCCUGACUGACCGAUAGUGAACCAGUACCGUGAGGGAAAGGCGAAAAGAACCCCUGUGAGGGGAGGAAAUAGAUCCUGAAACCGCAUGCAUACAAGCAGUGGGAGCACCUUCGUGGUGUGACUGCGUACCUUUUGUAUAAUGGGUCAGCGACUUAUAUUCAGUAGCGAGGUUAACCGUAUAGGGGAGCCGUAGAGAAAUCGAGUCUUAAUAGGGCGUUUAGUUGCUGGGUAUAGACCCGAAACCAGGCGAUCUAUCCAUGAGCAGGUUGAAGGUUGGGUAACACUAACUGGAGGACCGAACCCACUGUCGUUGAAAAGCCAGGGGAUGACUUGUGGAUAGGGGUGAAAGGCUAAUCAAGCCUGGUGAUAGCUGGUUCUCCCCGAAAGCUAUUUAGGUAGCGCCUCGGACGAAUACCAUAGGGGGUAGAGCACUGUUUCGGCUAGGGGGUCAUCCCGACUUACCAAACCGAUGCAAACUCCGAAUACCUAUGAGUACUAUCCGGGAGACAGACUGCGGGUGCUAACGUCCGUAGUCAAGAGGAAAACAAUCCAGACCGCCAGCUAAGGCCCCAAAAUCAUAGUUAAGUGGGAAACGAUGUGGGAAGGCAUAGACAGCUAGGAGGUUGGCUUAGAAGCAGCCACCCUUUAAAGAAAGCGUAAUAGCUCACUAGUCGAGUCGGCCUGCGCGGAAGAUGUAACGGGGCUAAAACUAUGUGCCGAAGCUGCGGAUGUAUACUUUGUAUACGUGGUAGGGGAGCGUUCUGUAAGCCGAUGAAGGUGUGUUGAGAAGCAUGCUGGAGGUAUCAGAAGUGCGAAUGCUGACGUGAGUAACGACAAAACGGGUGAAAAACCCGUUCGCCGAAAGACCAAGGGUUCCAGUCCAACGUUAAUCGGGGCUGGGUGAGUCGACCCUAAGGCGAGGCCGAAAGGCGUAGUCGAUGGGAAAAUGGUUAAUAUUCCAUUACUUCUGUGUAAUGCGAUGAGAGGACGGAGAAGGCUAAAUCAGCCUGGCGUUGGUUGUCCAGGUGAAAGGAUGUAGGCAUGUAUCUUAGGCAAAUCCGGGGUACUCUAUGCUGAGAUCUGAUAGCAAGCUGUACUUGUACAGCGAAGUGGUUGAUGCCAUGCUUCCAGGAAAAGUCUCUAAGCUUCAGUUACACAGGAAUCGUACCCGAAACCGACACAGGUGGUCAGGUCGAGUAGACCAAGGCGCUUGAGAGAACUCUGCUGAAGGAACUAGGCAAAAUGGUACCGUAACUUCGGGAGAAGGUACGCUGUUGUUGGUGAUGGAACUCGCUUCCUGAGCUGACGACAGCCGCAGAAACCAGGCCGCUGCAACUGUUUAUUAAAAACAUAGCACUCUGCAAACACGAAAGUGGACGUAUAGGGUGUGAUGCCUGCCCGGUGCUGGAAGGUUAAUUGAUGGGGUUAGCGUAAGCGAAGCUCUUGAUCGAAGCCCCAGUAAACGGCGGCCGUAACUAUAACGGUCCUAAGGUAGCGAAAUUCCUUGUCGGGUAAGUUCCGACCUGCACGAAUGGCAUAAUGAUGGCGGCGCUGUCUCCAGCAGAGGCUCAGUGAAAUCGAAAUCGCUGUGAAGAUGCAGUGUACCCGCGGCUAGACGGAAAGACCCCGUGAACCUUUACUGCAGCUUGACACUGAACUUUGACCUUACUUGUGUAGGAUAGGUGGGAGGCUUUGAAGCUGGAACGCUAGUUCCAGUGGAGCCGUCCUUGAAAUACCACCCUGGUAAUGUUGAGGUUCUAACUCUGUCCCGUGAUCCGGGACGAGGACCGUGUCUGGUGGGUAGUUUGACUGGGGCGGUCUCCUCCUAAAGAGUAACGGAGGAGUACGAAGGUGCGCUCAGCGUGGUCGGAAAUCACGCGUAGAGUAUAAAGGCAAAAGCGCGCUUAACUGCGAGACCCACAAGUCGAGCAGGUACGAAAGUAGGUCUUAGUGAUCCGGUGGUUCUGUAUGGAAGGGCCAUCGCUCAACGGAUAAAAGGUACUCUGGGGAUAACAGGCUGAUACCGCCCAAGAGUUCAUAUCGACGGCGGUGUUUGGCACCUCGAUGUCGGCUCAUCUCAUCCUGGGGCUGAAGCAGGUCCCAAGGGUAUGGCUGUUCGCCAUUUAAAGAGGUACGCGAGCUGGGUUUAGAACGUCGUGAGACAGUUCGGUCCCUAUCUACCGUGGGCGCUGGAAAUUUGAGAGGAUCUGCUCCUAGUACGAGAGGACCAGAGUGGACGAACCUCUGGUGUACCGGUUGUGACGCCAGUCGCAUCGCCGGGUAGCUAUGUUCGGAAGGGAUAACCGCUGAAAGCAUCUAAGCGGGAAGCCUACCUCAAGAUAAGAUUUCCCUAGGACUUUAUGUCCUCUAAAGAGCCGUUCGAGACUAGGACGUUGAUAGGUUGGAUGUGGAAGCAUAGUGAUAUGUGAAGCUGACCAAUACUAAUUGCUCGUGAGGCUUGACUAU